GGGUUGUGAGGUUAAGCGACUAAGCGUACACGGUGGAUGCCCUGGCAGUCAGAGGCGAUGAAGGACGUGCUAAUCUGCGAUAAGCGUCGGUGAGGUGAUAUGAACCGUUAUAACCGGCGAUUUCCGAAUGGGGAAACCCAGUGUGUUUCGACACACUAUCAUUAACUGAAUCCAUAGGUUAAUGAGGCGAACCGGGGGAACUGAAACAUCUAAGUACCCCGAGGAAAAGAAAUCAACCGAGAUUCCCCCAGUAGCGGCGAGCGAACGGGGAGGAGCCCAGAGCCUGAAUCAGUGUGUGUGUUAGUGGAAGCGUCUGGAAAGGCGUGCGAUACAGGGUGACAGCCCCGUACACAAAAAUGCACAUAUUGUGAGCUCGAUGAGUAGGGCGGGACACGUGGUAUCCUGUCUGAAUAUGGGGGGACCAUCCUCCAAGGCUAAAUACUCCUGACUGACCGAUAGUGAACCAGUACCGUGAGGGAAAGGCGAAAAGAACCCCGGCGAGGGGAGUGAAAAAGAACCUGAAACCGUGUACGUACAAGCAGUGGGAGCCUCUUAAUGGGGUGACUGCGUACCUUUUGUAUAAUGGGUCAGCGACUUAUAUUCUGUAGCAAGGUUAACCGAAUAGGGGAGCCGAAGGGAAACCGAGUCUUAACUGGGCGUUAAGUUGCAGGGUAUAGACCCGAAACCCGGUGAUCUAGCCAUGGGCAGGUUGAAGGUUGGGUAACACUAACUGGAGGACCGAACCGACUAAUGUUGAAAAAUUAGCGGAUGACUUGUGGCUGGGGGUGAAAGGCCAAUCAAACCGGGAGAUAGCUGGUUCUCCCCGAAAGCUAUUUAGGUAGCGCCUCGUGAAUUCAUCUCCGGGGGUAGAGCACUGUUUCGGCAAGGGGGUCAUCCCGACUUACCAACCCGAUGCAAACUGCGAAUACCGGAGAAUGUUAUCACGGGAGACACACGGCGGGUGCUAACGUCCGUCGUGAAGAGGGAAACAACCCAGACCGCCAGCUAAGGUCCCAAAGUCAUGGUUAAGUGGGAAACGAUGUGGGAAGGCCCAGACAGCCAGGAUGUUGGCUUAGAAGCAGCCAUCAUUUAAAGAAAGCGUAAUAGCUCACUGGUCGAGUCGGCCUGCGCGGAAGAUGUAACGGGGCUAAACCAUGCACCGAAGCUGCGGCAGCGACACUAUGUGUUGUUGGGUAGGGGAGCGUUCUGUAAGCCUGUGAAGGUGGCCUGUGAGGGUUGCUGGAGGUAUCAGAAGUGCGAAUGCUGACAUAAGUAACGAUAAAGCGGGUGAAAAGCCCGCUCGCCGGAAGACCAAGGGUUCCUGUCCAACGUUAAUCGGGGCAGGGUGAGUCGACCCCUAAGGCGAGGCCGAAAGGCGUAGUCGAUGGGAAACAGGUUAAUAUUCCUGUACUUGGUGUUACUGCGAAGGGGGGACGGAGAAGGCUAUGUUGGCCGGGCGACGGUUGUCCCGGUUUAAGCGUGUAGGCUGGNNNNNNNNNNNNNNNNNNNNNNNNNNNNNNNNNNNNNNNNNNNNNNNNNNNNNNNNNNNNNNNNNNNNNNNNNNNNNNNNNNNNNNNNNNNNNNNNNNAUGGAGCUGAAAUCAGUCGAAGAUACCAGCUGGCUGCAACUGUUUAUUAAAAACACAGCACUGUGCAAACACGAAAGUGGACGUAUACGGUGUGACGCCUGCCCGGUGCCGGAAGGUUAAUUGAUGGGGUUAGCGGCAACGCGAAGCUCUUGAUCGAAGCCCCGGUAAACGGCGGCCGUAACUAUAACGGUCCUAAGGUAGCGAAAUUCCUUGUCGGGUAAGUUCCGACCUGCACGAAUGGCGUAAUGAUGGCCAGGCUGUCUCCACCCGAGACUCAGUGAAAUUGAACUCGCUGUGAAGAUGCAGUGUACCCGCGGCAAGACGGAAAGACCCCGUGAACCUUUACUAUAGCUUGACACUGAACAUUGAGCCUUGAUGUGUAGGAUAGGUGGGAGGCUUUGAAGUGUGGACGCCAGUCUGCAUGGAGCCGACCUUGAAAUACCACCCUUUAAUGUUUGAUGUUCUAACGUUGGCCCGUAAUCCGGGUUGCGGACAGUGUCUGGUGGGUAGUUUGACUGGGGCGGUCUCCUCCUAAAGAGUAACGGAGGAGCACGAAGGUUGGCUAAUCCUGGUCGGACAUCAGGAGGUUAGUGCAAUGGCAUAAGCCAGCUUGACUGCGAGCGUGACGGCGCGAGCAGGUGCGAAAGCAGGUCAUAGUGAUCCGGUGGUUCUGAAUGGAAGGGCCAUCGCUCAACGGAUAAAAGGUACUCCGGGGAUAACAGGCUGAUACCGCCCAAGAGUUCAUAUCGACGGCGGUGUUUGGCACCUCGAUGUCGGCUCAUCACAUCCUGGGGCUGAAGUAGGUCCCAAGGGUAUGGCUGUUCGCCAUUUAAAGUGGUACGCGAGCUGGGUUUAGAACGUCGUGAGACAGUUCGGUCCCUAUCUGCCGUGGGCGCUGGAGAACUGAGGGGGGCUGCUCCUAGUACGAGAGGACCGGAGUGGACGCAUCACUGGUGUUCGGGUUGUCAUGCCAAUGGCACUGCCCGGUAGCUAAAUGCGGAAGAGAUAAGUGCUGAAAGCAUCUAAGCACGAAACUUGCCCCGAGAUGAGUUCUCCCUGACUCCUUGAGAGUCCUGAAGGAACGUUGAAGACGACGACGUUGAUAGGCCGGGUGUGUAAGCGCAGCGAUGCGUUGAGCUAACCGGUACUAAUGAACCGUGAGGCUUAACCUUACAACGCCGAAG
RNAcentral lists this ribosomal RNA (2772 nucleotides) under Escherichia coli. Its description in RNAcentral is "23S ribosomal RNA". It matches the Rfam family "Bacterial large subunit ribosomal RNA". Lineage: Bacteria; Pseudomonadati; Pseudomonadota; Gammaproteobacteria; Enterobacterales; Enterobacteriaceae. The record is from RNAcentral.